ACGAGCCACACGAACGUUAUUCGGAAUUACUGGGCUUAAAGGGUGCGUAGGCGGCGCGGAAAGUUGGGUGUGAAAUCCCUCGGCCCAACCGAGGAACUGCGCCCGAUACUGCGUUGCUUGAGGAUCAGAGGGGUGCACGGAAUUUCCGGUGGAGCGGUGAAAUGCGUUGAUAUCGGAAGGAACGUCGGCGGCGAAAGCGGUGCACUGGCUGAUUUCUGACGCUGAGGUGCGAAAGCCAGGGGAGCAAACGGGA
RNAcentral lists this ribosomal RNA (253 nucleotides) under uncultured prokaryote. RNAcentral's name for it is "partial 16S ribosomal RNA". It matches the Rfam family "Bacterial small subunit ribosomal RNA", at positions 525 to 777 of the family's 1533-position model. The record is from RNAcentral.